UCCUAUGAUGGCAUGAAAUCUUUGAGACCUGAAUUUUUAAUUUGAUGUCAGCUAUAAGCAUACUCACUGAGGAUCCAUUUAAUUAUUUUUAUCUUUUUUUAUUUUUUUUUUUUUUUUAAUUUGUUAUUUACUCAUUUUAUAUGAAUAUGAAUGAUGAAUAAGCACUGGGCUCUGAGCAUAUAAUUUGAUGCACAUUGCUAGCCUAGAAAGCUAUAUCUGACUC
This 223-nucleotide long non-coding RNA is filed under the name Medicago truncatula (barrel medic). Lineage: Eukaryota; Viridiplantae; Streptophyta; Magnoliopsida; Fabales; Fabaceae. The record is from RNAcentral.